RNAcentral lists this small RNA (551 nucleotides) under Cryptococcus neoformans H99. RNAcentral describes it as "Cryptococcus neoformans var. grubii H99 hypothetical RNA". Lineage: Eukaryota; Fungi; Basidiomycota; Tremellomycetes; Tremellales; Cryptococcaceae. The record is from RNAcentral.
UGUCGAUCUACUAUACCUAUCUACCACCAACCACAUGCUCUACCUACAAACGCCUUUCGACAAAUAACCAUCAUUAUGUCUAUUAGUACCGGAGGGCAUCAUAGUAAUCCAAUCCGGAUAGCCAGCUGUAAGGAUACAAGAAUACAAAGGAAUGGGGGUAGGAGGAAGACAGAGCGGACGAGAGGAAGACGGAGAAGUAGUUUUGGGGUGCAGAGGAGAGAGGGGGAGAAGGAAGAAGACAAGAGGAAGAGUAUGAAGACCGUGCAAGGAGGCCUUACCGAGGCGAGGUACGCACCGAGGAUGCAGGGAAGGUAUGGGGAAGGUUAGUCAGCUCUUAGAACUGGAAAAGAUAUAAAAGGGUAGCCUUUAGAGUAGAAAAUACAUAGCCCAAAACAGUUUAGUCUUCUCAGACUCUCGAGAUCAGCAAUCCCAACGACUGAAUUUAGUGCUCCAAGGACAGCUGAAUACAAACAAACGACUGAGGACAUGAAACUUAAAGUAGCAUCAGGUGUUCUCCAGCCUCUACGAGGACAGUGGCACCGCUACACCAG